AUAACAGCUGGAAACGGUUGCUAAUACCGCAUGAGCCUCUUUUGUCGCAUGACGGGAGAGGGAAAGAGAAAUCGGUGAGAGAUGGAUCCGCGUCCGAUUAGCUAGUUGGAGGGGUAACAGCCCACCAAGGCGACGAUCGGUAGCCGACCUGAGAGGGUGGACGGCCACAUUGGGACUGAGACACGGCCCAAACUCCUACGGGAGGCAGCAGUGGGGAAUAUUGCACAAUGGGGGAAACCCUGAUGCAGCAACGCCGCGUGAGUGAGGAAGUAUUUCGGUAUGUAAAGCUCUAUCAGCAGGGAAUAGAAAAGAAGGUACCUGAAAAAGAAGCCCCGGCUAACUACGUGCCAGCAGCCGCGGUAAUACGUAGGGGGCAAGCGUUAUCCGGAUUUACUGGGUGUAAAGGGAGCGUAGACGGAAAGGCAAGUCAGAAGUGAAAGCCCAAGGCUCAACCAUGGGACUGCUUUUGAAACUGUCAAACUAGAGUACGGGAGAGGUAAGAGGAAUUCCUAGUGUAGCGGUGAAAUGCGUAGAUAUUAGGAGGAACACCAGUGGCGAAGGCGUCUUACUGGACCGAAACUGACGUUGAGGCUCGAAAGCGUGGGGAGCAAACAGGAUUAGAUACCCUGGUAGUCCACGCGGUAAACGAUGAAUACUAGGUGUUGGGGUAAAGAAACCUCGGUG
This 684-nucleotide ribosomal RNA is filed under the name uncultured bacterium. RNAcentral's name for it is "bacterial SSU rRNA". It matches the Rfam family "Bacterial small subunit ribosomal RNA", at positions 143 to 845 of the family's 1533-position model. The record is from RNAcentral.